Molecule: ribosomal RNA, 503 nt
Filed under: uncultured bacterium
Lineage: Bacteria
Description: partial 16S ribosomal RNA
Rfam family: Bacterial small subunit ribosomal RNA
Source: RNAcentral
AUUGAACGCUGGCGGCAGGCUUAACACAUGCAAGUCGAGCGGGGUGAUGGUGCUUGCACUAUCACUUAGCGGCGGACGGGUGAGUAAUGCUUAGGAAUCUGCCUAUUAGUGGGGGACAACAUCUCGAAAGGGAUGCUAAUACCGCAUGCGUCCUACGGGAGAAAGCAGGGGAUCACUUGUGACCUUGCGCUAAUAGAUGAGCCUAAGUCGGAUUAGCUAGUUGUUGGGGUAAAGGCCUACCAAGGCGACGAUCUGUAGCGGGUCUGAGAGGAGGAUCCGCCACACUGGGACUGAGACACGGCCCAGACUCCGACGGGAGGCAGCAGUGGGGAAUAUUGGACAAUGGGGGGAACCCUGAUCCAGCCAUGCCGCGUGUGUGAAGAAGGCCUUAUGGUUGUAAAGCACUUUAAGCGAGGAGGAGGCUCUUUUGGUUAAUACUCAAGAUGAGUGGACGUUACUCGCAGAAUAAGCACCGGCUAACUCUGUGCCAGCCGCCGCCGUAA